GGCUCGUUAGAAAAAGCUACUUACUGUAUAUAUGUAAGUGACAUAAUCUUUAAAAAAUAUGUAGAGGAAGAAGGAUGCUAUCUCCAAAGAUUAUGUCACUUACAUAUAUACAGUAAGUAACUUUGCAUCCAGAACGUUAUAUUAACAACUUUGUC
Arabidopsis thaliana (thale cress) is the source of this 155-nucleotide non-coding RNA. NCBI's taxonomy places the organism in Eukaryota, Viridiplantae, Streptophyta, Magnoliopsida, Brassicales, Brassicaceae. The record is from RefSeq.